Homo sapiens (human) is the source of this 574-nucleotide long non-coding RNA. Ensembl annotates it as NmrA like redox sensor 2, pseudogene. Its record names the gene NMRAL2P. The record is from Ensembl. NCBI's taxonomy places the organism in Eukaryota, Metazoa, Chordata, Mammalia, Primates, Hominidae.
CAGCAUUUCGGCUGGUGUCGCUGCUCCAGGGAAAGUUCUGUUACUCCACUGACUCUCUCUUUUCCUGAUAACAUGGCCAGCAAGAAAGUAAUUACAGUGUUUGGAGCAACAGGAGCUCAAGGUGGCUCUGUGGCCAGGGCAAUUUUGGAGAGCAAAAAAUUUGCAGUGAGAGCAGUGACCAGGGAUGUGACUUGACCAAAUGCCCUGGAGCUCCAGCGCCUUGGAGCUGAGGUGGUCAAAGGUGACCUGAAUGAUAAAGCAUCGGUGGACAGUGCCUUAAAAGGUGUCUAUGGGGCCUUCUUGGUGACCAACUUCUGGGACCCUCUCAACCAAGAUAAGGAAGGGAAGCUGGUGGCAGACUCCGCCAAGCACCUGGGUCUGAAGCACGUGGUGUACAGCGGCCUGGAGAACGUCAAGCGACUGACGGAUGGCAAGCUGGAGGUGCCGCACUUUGACAGCAAGGGCGAGGUGGAGGAGUACUUCUGGUCCAUUGGCAUCCCCAUGACCAGUGUCCGCGUGGCGGCCUACUUUGAAAACUUUCUCGCGGCGUGGCGGCCCGUGAAAGCCUCUGAUG